This 2549-nucleotide unclassified non-coding RNA is filed under the name Aphidius gifuensis. Its description in RNAcentral is "uncharacterized LOC122854626, transcript variant X1". Lineage: Eukaryota; Metazoa; Arthropoda; Insecta; Hymenoptera; Braconidae. The record is from RNAcentral.
AAGCGUGGUCAUACUGAAACUGGCACCCGAAGAGUUCGCACACGACCUAACUAACAGAGAAUACGGUGGAAAAGCAGAUUACCCAUAUAACGUAUCGUCGAUAUAUAUAAUACGGUUCGGCUUAAUAAUUUAACAAGAAAAAUCAUCAUAAUAAUACAAAGUUAAUUAAUAAUAAAGUGUUUUAAUAGUGUGAUUAAAUAUUUAUAAUAUAAUUAUUGUUUUAUAUAUUAAAAUAAUAAUAUAUUUGUGUGUUAAAAUAAUAUAUAUAAUUAUAUUGAAAAAAAUAUAUAUUAUUUCAUCAUAAUUUUUUGAAGCUUCGAGAAAAGGUGCUUAUAAUAACUGUCGAGAUGGCGUUUAUGAUGCCCGUUGUGAAAAAUGAGUGGGAUAUUUAUAAAACAAAUCGGAGUAGACGUUCAUCUGAGUGUUCAAAUCCACAAUCAUGUAGAAGCCGAAAGGUUUCUGAAUGUUCCAAAUCUGAGGGACCAUCAUUAUCAACAUCACCUGGUUCUGAUUAUUUAACAUCACCAGCUCAUCGUUCAGUACCAAUGUCAUCACGUCAUUUUUCAAGAACAUCAUCAAGAACAUCACAAAAUUCAUUACAAAGCCCAAGUAAAAGUACUGGUUCAUCACCACCUAAAACUGGAAGUUCAAGUUCAUUGAAUAAAUUUCAUAAUCGUCUUGUUGAUAAAUUAAAAAGAUCAUUAAGAAAAGCUGAUGAUAGUUCUGAUGAUCAACGUAAUUUAUCGUGAGAUAAUAAUGGGGUUAAGAGCCGUCCACCAGUUUGUGGAGGUUCAAAACCAAUUGAUAUACGACGCACCUCGACACCAUCAACACCCUCAAUAAAUGCACAGGCACCUGGGUCAAGAUCGUGUCCAGAUAAAUUUGCGGCAUGGUUAAUACAACAUGAAAAAUAAUAAUUAUAAAAAAAUUUAUAUAACAACAACAACAACAACAGUAUAUUUGACAUCAUCAAAAGUAAAAUAAUGAUUUAAAAAGAAGAAGAACAACAAGAUGAAGAAUCAUUCAAGUUAUUGAUAAUUAAAAAAUUUCAUAUGAAGAAUUUGUAUGUAUUAUAUGCAACUGCAAUAAACCAGAUUGCAGAGGAUUAAUUAUGAUUUAUAAAUAUCAACAAUAAUAAUUCAUAUGACAACAUUAGUGAUAUAAUGAGGGCUUGAUUAAUUUCGAGCAGCAACUUCUUUCUUGGAAUUGAGCUGAAUGAGCGAUUAAGACAUUUAAAUUAUUUCAAAAUCACAAUCGGAAUUUAUUAAGCUCACAAUAACAAAAAUUAAAAAAAAAUUAUAAUAAUCUUCAUAUUUAAAUUAUAUAAAAAAAAUAUCAGUUAACUCAAUAAAAUCUUGUCGCCUACAUGUCUUGCAUUUCAAUAUAAAAAUAAUUUAAUUAUAUGAAUGAGUUGUGAGUAUAAUUGACUAUUGAAAUGUUUUUGGAAAUAUUAAUUUUAUAUAUCCAAAAACUGCCGCUUUACCGUAAGACUGCUUAAACGAUGAAAAUAAUUAUAUUAAAUAAAGUUUAAAGAAAAAUAAAACAUUGAUAAAAAAAACGAUGAUGAAUUAAAUUGAUUGGUGCUCGAUGAUAGAUAGUUAAAUAAACGUUUUUUACUUAUUACAAAAAUUAAUUAAACAUAAAGAAAGAAAAAGCUUUAUUUUCAUUGAAAGUUUUUUUUUUUUCAUUAGUUCUAAUAAUUUUUCGUAAUAAUUAAUAUUCGUUUAUUUAGUUUAUUUAACCUGAACUGACAGUGAAUUGGCGUUAUUAUAAAUAUAGAAAUUAAAAGAUAUUGGCGAGAUAAUAAUUUAUUUAUUUUAGCGAUCUUGAGCCUUGAUAAUAAACUAAUAAUUUUUCAUCAUAUAAAUAUGUAUUUAUUAUAUCAAAUUACAUAAUUAAUAAAAUAUAUAUCAAUUUUUCAAAAUAUAAUCAGCUCUAUGCUAAUUUAAAAAUUAAUUCAACAAAAUUUAUUAUUACUAUAAUAAAAAAAAAAAAUGGAGUAAUAUUUUUUAUUUCACGGCACAGGAUCGCCAAGUUAUGAAAUUCAAUUUAUUAAAAAGAUCCGAAUAUAUUUUGUAUUAUUACUAUAUUAAUAAUAAAAAUAAAAAAUUAAAAAAAAAAUCAUUAGUAUAUAGAUUUAAGUAUUUAGCAGAAGAGAAAAAAAAAAUAAAAGUAAUAAGCAUGUUAUUUUUUGGGAUUUCCAAGUUGAAUUUUAAAGCGGUGGUUGAUUAGAUACGUAAAAUGAUCAAAUUAAUAAUUAAUAUUAUUAUUAAUUUUAUCUAUUUACACGUUGUCUUUUUAAUCAUGGCCAUUAGUAUCACUGCCGAAAGCCCAGGGAUUAAAUAAAAAUAUAAAAACACAAUAAUCGAACCGCUAAAAAGACUUGUUUUUUUUUUUCUUUUUUAAAUAUUAGUUUUGUUUUUGUUGAAAUAUUGCAAUAUGCCAAUUUUUUUUAAAUUAUCAUCUCGUUUUUAUUUAUAUGUAUAUCAUUUAGAAAUUCUUCACUUAGAAAAAAAAAAUGCCUGUAUUUGAUAAAGAAAUAUUUGUCA